RNAcentral lists this long non-coding RNA (528 nucleotides) under Nicotiana benthamiana. Its description in RNAcentral is "long non-coding RNA (NBEN_LNC034792)". The record is from RNAcentral. Lineage: Eukaryota; Viridiplantae; Streptophyta; Magnoliopsida; Solanales; Solanaceae.
AGAGACCCCUCUAAAAAUAAAGUGACAUUCUUCUAACCAAAGAAGAGGAUCGGAAGCCAUCAGCAGGAUCGUUGCCUUCUUCUUGAACAAAAGAAAUCCUAAGCCAACAAUCUCCAUCUUCAACCCCUAAAACUAAAAGACCCAAUCGUUUCCACCAUACCCUGGACCAGCGAUCACUCUCAAAUGAACUAACCUCCACUCUCGAUCAAUACUCCUAUCAAUCGUACACCAUCCGAAUCGGCGGCGGCACCCACAACACAUAGUCGAAAAAUAGAAAAAGAAAAGAAAAAAAGACGAGGGAAGACAGAUAGCAGAGUUGUAUUAGAGGAGUAGUAGAAGAUUUAAUUCCUUAAGCCUUUCAUUUACAUCUGUAGCCGCAAUUGCUUACGUUAAAAGCAGCUCAGACUCAAUGUGGGAAAAAUUAAAAGCAUUUUGAUUCUCAUGAUUGUCUCUAAUUUCUUUGUUUUAGUUUACUUCAAGUUUUCCAGCGAGUUUUGAAGCCGCCGAAGGUCGUAGUCUGAGGUUUCU